This 117-nucleotide small RNA is filed under the name Marmota monax (woodchuck). The record is from RNAcentral. Lineage: Eukaryota; Metazoa; Chordata; Mammalia; Rodentia; Sciuridae.
GCCGGGUGCGGUGGUGCACGCCUGUAAUCCUAGUGGCUUGGGAGGCUGAGGCAGGAGGAUCAAAGCCAGCCUCAGCAAAAGCAAGGCACUAAGUAACUCAGUGAGACCCUGUCUCUA